GGUGGAGUUGCUCACCUGGGUGCUGGUGUGAAAGUUUGCAGAUGGCUGCUGCUGAGUCAGUGAGUGUCUGUUUCUUUUGCUUCUUCUAAAAGUAUCUGCUUCCUGUCAGGGUCUGGCACUGUGCUGGGUCUUUGCCAGGAAUUGCUCUGACACUGAAGAUCAGAGUUACCAUGACCCAGACCCUGGCCAGGCGGGGCUUCUCGGGAAACAGAAAGUCCAGUGGGGCUAGAAGGAGGAAGUUUCUGCUGGCUGCACAGCCAGCAACCCCCACCCCCUGCCUCCUCUGCCUCUGCAAAUAAAGGGGCUUCUGGAAGGUAGGGUCAGCCCUGAGGGGGCCAGGGUGAGGUUUUUCCUGAAGGAUCUGGCAUUGCUGUGGCUGUGGUGCAGGCUGGCAGCUGUAGCUGAUUCGACCCCCAGCCUGGGAACCUCCAUAUGCCCCGGGCGUGGCCAUAAAAAACAAACAAACGAAAAAACUACAUCCUCAUGGAUACUAGUUGGGUUCUUAACCUGAUGAGCCACAAUGGGAACUCCCAGGAUGGAAUUUACAAAGUCCUCAGGGAUACUCAUCCUCUCAUCCCCCUCCCAUUAGCGACUCCUCAGCCCCCUCCUGGUCAAUGCUAUCCCUAACUUUGAGCCCAGUGGUCCCUUCUCUAUCCUCCUCCCUCUCUCAGAGCCUUCUGACCAGGCCAGACCCCCUCCUCCUAAAAACUCCAUCCUCAUGCGGCCCCCAGGCUCCAUACACCCCCUCCCUCCCUCUCACUUCUCACAGACCUUCUCUGGUCCCCCCCCCCCCCACCUGCCAGGGCCUUGUCCCCUCUCAGGGACUGAACUCCAUCUAUGCCCCUAUGACGUCCACAGUCCUGUCUCCAGCCCGGGCCUUCCCUGAGCUCUGGACUCGGAGUUCAGCUACCCCUUGACGUCUCCAUGUGGGGAAUCCAUGAGGGUCUCACACUCAAGGACACCACGGUGUGUCUGACCCUCCCCGCCUAACCUGCCCCUCUUGCGUCUCAUUUUUGCUGAUGGAAGCUCCAUCUUGGCAAUCGCUCAACUCGAACCUGAGAGUCACCCUCGACUGAUCUAUCAGCCAACACUCCUGCUUCUGCUUUCGAAAAAUCUGCCCUGGAGUUCCUGUCGUGGCACAGUGGUUAACGAAUCCGACUAGGAACCAUGAGAUUGCGGGUUCGGUCCCUGGCCUUGCUCAGUGGGUUAACGAUCCAGCGUUGCCGUGAGCUGUGGUGUAGUUUGCAGCCGCGGCUCGGAUCCAGCGUUGCUGUGGCUCUGGCGUAGGCCAGUGGCUACAGCUCCGAUUAGACCCCCUAGCCUGGGAACCUCCAUAUGCCGCAGAAGCGGU
RNAcentral lists this long non-coding RNA (1351 nucleotides) under Sus scrofa (pig). Its description in RNAcentral is "lncRNA (ENSSSCG00025005995.1)". Lineage: Eukaryota; Metazoa; Chordata; Mammalia; Artiodactyla; Suidae. The record is from RNAcentral.